UACGUAGGUGGCAAGCGUUGUCCGGAUUUAUUGGGCGUAAAGGGAGCGCAGGCGGUGACUUAAGUCUGAUGUGAAAGCCCACGGCUCAACCGUGGAAGGUCAUUGGAAACUGGGUCACUUGAAUAUAGAAGAGGAAAGUGGAAUUCCAUGUGUAGCGGUGAAAUGCGUAGAUAUAUGGAGGAACACCAGUGGCGAAGGCGACUUUCUGGUCUAUUAUUGACGCUGAGGCUCGAAAGCAUGGGUAGGCAACAGGAUUAGAUACCU
RNAcentral lists this ribosomal RNA (264 nucleotides) under uncultured prokaryote. Its description in RNAcentral is "partial 16S ribosomal RNA". It matches the Rfam family "Bacterial small subunit ribosomal RNA", at positions 524 to 787 of the family's 1533-position model. The record is from RNAcentral.